AAGCCAUAGAAGACGCUGGCGGCGUGCUUACACAUGCAAGUCGAACGAUGAACCACCUUCGGGUGGGGAUUAGUGGCGAACGGGUGAGUAACACGUGGGCAAUCUGCCCUUCACUCUGGGACAAGCCCUGGAAACGGGGUCUAAUACCGGAUACUGACCUGCCAAGGCAUCUUGGCGGGUCGAAAGCUCCGGCGGUGAAGGAUGAGCACGCGGCCUAUCAGCUUGUUGGUGAGGUAAUGGCUCACCAAGGCGACGACGGGUAGCCGGCCUGAGAGGGCGACCGGCCACACUGGGACUGAGACACGGCCCAGACUCCUACGGGAGGCAGCAGUGGGGAAUAUUGCACAAUGGGCGAAAGCCUGAUGCAGCGACGCCGCGUGAGGGAUGACGGCCUUCGGGUUGUAAACCUCUUUCAGCAGGGAAGAAGCGAAAGUGACGGUACCUGCAGAAGAAGCGCCGGCUAACUACGUGCCACCAGCCGCGGUAAUACGUAGGGCGCAAGCGUUGUCCGGAAUUAUUGGGCGUAAAGAGCUCGUAGGCGGCUUGUCACGUCGGUUGUGAAAGCCCGGGGCUUAACCCCGGGUCUGCAGUCGAUACGGGCAGGCUAGAGUUCGGUAGGGGAGAUCGGAAUUCCUGGUGUAGCGGUGAAAUGCGCAUAUAUCAGGAGGAACACCGGUGGCGAAGGCGGAUCUCUGGGCCGAUACUGACGCUGAGGAGCGAAAGCGUGGGGAGCGAACAGGAUUAGAUACCCUGGUAGUCCACGCCGUAAACGGUGGGCACUACGUGUGGGCAACAUUCCACGUUGUCCGUGCCGCAGCUAACGCAUUAAGUGCCCCGCCUGGGGAGUACGGCCGCAGGCUAAAACUCAAAGGAAUUGACGGGGGCCCGCACAAGCGGCGCAGCAUGUGGCUUAAUUCGACGCAACUCGAUGAACCUUACCCAGGCUUGACUUACACCGCAAAGCAUCUGAG
This 971-nucleotide ribosomal RNA is filed under the name Streptomyces sp. SCAUEeFF1. RNAcentral's name for it is "bacterial SSU rRNA". It matches the Rfam family "Bacterial small subunit ribosomal RNA", at positions 19 to 1005 of the family's 1533-position model. The record is from RNAcentral. Lineage: Bacteria; Bacillati; Actinomycetota; Actinomycetes; Kitasatosporales; Streptomycetaceae.